CCUACGGGUGGCAGCAGUGAGGAAUAUUGGUCAAUGGGCGCAGGCCUGAACCAGCCAAGUCGCGUGAAGGAUGACUGCCCUACGGAUUGUAAACCUCUUUUGUAAAGGAAUAAAGUGAGCCACGUGUGCCUUUUUGUGUGUACUUUAUGAAUAAGCAUCGGCUAACUCCGUGCCAGCAGCCGCGGUAAUACGGAGGAUCCGAGCGUUAUCCGGAUUUAUUGGGUUUAAAGGGAGCGUAGAUGGGUUGUUAAGUCAGUUGUGAAAGUUUGCGGCUCAACCGUAAAAUUGCAAUUGAUACUGGCAGCCUUGAGUACAGUAGAGGUAGGCGGAAUUCGUGGUGUAGCAGUGAAAUGCUUAGAUAUCACGAAGAACUCCGAUUGCGAAGGCAGCCUACUAAACUGUAACUGACACUGAUGCUCGAAAGUGUGGGUAUCAAACAGGAUUAGAUACCCUAGUAGUC
Molecule: ribosomal RNA, 460 nt
Filed under: uncultured bacterium
Lineage: Bacteria
Description: partial 16S ribosomal RNA
Rfam family: Bacterial small subunit ribosomal RNA
Source: RNAcentral